RNAcentral lists this transfer RNA (57 nucleotides) under Bos taurus (domestic cattle). It matches the Rfam family "tRNA", at positions 8 to 63 of the family's 71-position model. From Rfam's summary of the family: Transfer RNA (tRNA) molecules are approximately 80 nucleotides in length. Their secondary structure includes four short double-helical elements and three loops (D, anti-codon, and T loops). The record is from Rfam by way of RNAcentral. RNAcentral also lists the same sequence under 3 other names. Lineage: Eukaryota; Metazoa; Chordata; Mammalia; Artiodactyla; Bovidae.
UGGCUUAGACGGUAAAGCAUCUGCCUGCAAUGUGGGAGACCCAGGUUCAAUUCCUGG